Molecule: ribosomal RNA, 27 nt
Filed under: Meyerozyma guilliermondii
Lineage: Eukaryota; Fungi; Ascomycota; Pichiomycetes; Serinales; Debaryomycetaceae
Description: partial 26S ribosomal RNA
Source: RNAcentral
CCGGCCUUACAACAACCAAACAAGUUG